GAGGGUAUAGCUCAAGUGGUAGAACGCAUGCUUAGUACGUGUGGGGUCCUGGGUUCAAUCCCUGGUACCUUCU
Molecule: transfer RNA, 73 nt
Filed under: Camelus bactrianus (Bactrian camel)
Lineage: Eukaryota; Metazoa; Chordata; Mammalia; Artiodactyla; Camelidae
Also listed under: 2 other names
Rfam family: tRNA
About the family: Transfer RNA (tRNA) molecules are approximately 80 nucleotides in length. Their secondary structure includes four short double-helical elements and three loops (D, anti-codon, and T loops).
Source: Rfam by way of RNAcentral